UACGUAGGGGGCGAGCGUUAUCCGGAUUUAUUGGGCGUAAAGCGUGUGUAGGCGGUUUGUUAAGUUUAAGAUUAAAGCCCGAGGCUUAACCUCGGUUCGUCUUAAAAACUGGCAGACUUGAGUGCAGUAGAGGCAAGUGGAAUUUCUAGUGUAGCGGUUAAAUGCGUAGAUAUUAGAAGGAACACCAGUGGCGAAGGCGGCUUGCUGGGCUGUUACUGACGCUGAGACACGAAAGCGUGGGGAGC
Molecule: ribosomal RNA, 245 nt
Filed under: uncultured Gammaproteobacteria bacterium
Lineage: Bacteria; Pseudomonadati; Pseudomonadota; Gammaproteobacteria
Description: partial 16S ribosomal RNA
Rfam family: Bacterial small subunit ribosomal RNA
Source: RNAcentral